Ictalurus punctatus (channel catfish) is the source of this 579-nucleotide long non-coding RNA. Lineage: Eukaryota; Metazoa; Chordata; Actinopteri; Siluriformes; Ictaluridae. The record is from Ensembl.
GGCCAAAUCAACAUCUUAUACUCUUUGUUAUGUUUUUCAUACCAUUCCUGCAAUUUUUGCAGUGUAGCAGUGCACGUUAUCCAUCUGAAAGCGGCCACUGCCAUUAGGGAAUACCGUUGCCAUUAGCAAUGCCAUUGUGUACUUGGUCUGCACCAAUGUUUAGGUGGUAUGUGUCAAAGUAACAUCUACAUGAAUACCAGGACUCAAGGUUUCCCAGCAGAACAUUGCUCAGACCACUGCACUGCCUCUGCUGACUUGCCUUCUUUCCACAGAGUAUCCUGUGCCAUCUCUUCCCCAGGUUACAUCCAUAGGGCCUAAUGAGGAUUACCUGAGGAAGAUACAUACAGGACCUUGCCCGCUGCUUGCUCCAGCACCUGCUGUGGUUACCUGAGCCAGAAAAGAUGAUAUUAAACACGGAUACAAUAGCAGAUCCAAUUAUGUGCUUCCUCUUCCUGGUUGUUCUUGUAUGCUGGAAGUAUUAUGUAAUGACUGAAGACCGGCCAUUCUUCUUCAGGAUUUUCUGUUAGUGAGCAGAAUUCAUGUUUCCCUCAGUUACUGCAAGUUGCCCAGGCCCGGAAG